RNAcentral lists this ribosomal RNA (489 nucleotides) under uncultured bacterium. Its description in RNAcentral is "partial 16S ribosomal RNA". It matches the Rfam family "Bacterial small subunit ribosomal RNA", at positions 29 to 504 of the family's 1533-position model. The record is from RNAcentral.
AGUGAACGCUGGCGGUAGGCCUAACACAUGCAAGUCGAACGGCAGCACAGUAAGAGCUUGCUCUUACGGGUGGCGAGUGGCGGACGGGUGAGGAAUACAUCGGAAUCUACUUUUUCGUGGGGGAUAACGUAGGGAAACUUACGCUAAUACCGCAUACGACCUACGGGUGAAAGCAGGGGAUCUUCGGACCUUGCGCGAUUGAAUGAGCCGAUGUCGGAUUAGCUAGUUGGCGGGGUAAAGGCCCACCAAGGCGAGGAUCCGUAGCUGGUCUGAGAGGAUGAUCAGCCACACUGGAACUGAGACACGGUCCAGACUCCUACGGGAGGCAGCAGUGGGGAAUAUUGGACAAUGGGCGCAAGCCUGAUCCAGCCAUACCGCGUGGGUGAAGAAGGCCUUCGGGUUGUAAAGCCCUUUUGUUGGGAAAGAAAAGCAGCAGGUUAAUACCCCGCUGUUCUGACGGUACCCAAAGAAUAAGCACCGGCUAACUUC